This 253-nucleotide ribosomal RNA is filed under the name uncultured bacterium. Its description in RNAcentral is "partial 16S ribosomal RNA". It matches the Rfam family "Bacterial small subunit ribosomal RNA", at positions 524 to 776 of the family's 1533-position model. The record is from RNAcentral.
UACGUAGGGUGCGAGCGUUAAUCGGAAUUACUGGGCGUAAAGCGUACGCAGGCGGCUUUGCAAGACAGGUGUGAAAUCCCCGGGCCUAACCUGGGAACUGCAUUUGUGACUGCAUGGCUAGAGUUUGUCAGAGGGGGGUGGAAUUCCACGUGUAGCAGUGAAAUGCGUAGAUAUCGUUUGGAACGCCAAUGGUGAAAACAGGUUGCUGGGAGUGUGCUGACGCUGAGACACGAAAGCCAGGGGAGCGAACGGG